This 460-nucleotide ribosomal RNA is filed under the name uncultured bacterium. Its description in RNAcentral is "partial 16S ribosomal RNA". It matches the Rfam family "Bacterial small subunit ribosomal RNA", at positions 338 to 795 of the family's 1533-position model. The record is from RNAcentral.
CCUACGGGAGGCAGCAGUGAGGAAUAUUGGUCAAUGGGCGCGAGCCUGAACCAGCCAAGUAGCGUGAAGGAUGACUGCCCUACGGGUUGUACACUUCUUUUAUAAAGGAGUAAAGGGAGGUACGUGUGCCUUUUUGUAUGUACUUUAUGAAUAAGGAUCGGCCAACUCCGUGCCAGCAGCCGCGGUUAUCCGGAUGAUCCGAGCUUUAUCCGGAUUUUUUGGGUUUAAAGGGAGCGUAGAUGGGUUGGUAAGUCAGUUGUGAAAGUUUGCGGCUCAACCGUACAAUUGCAAUUGAUACUGGAAGGCUUGAGUACAGUUGAGGUAAGCGGAAUUCGUGGUGUAGCGGUGAAAUGCGUAGAUAUUACGAAGAACUCCGAUGGCGAAGGCAGCCUACUAAACUGCCACUGACAUUGAUGCUCGAAAGUGUGGGUAUCAAACAGGAUUAGAUACCCUAGUAGUC